CAAACUGCGAAUACCGGAGAAUGUUAUCACGGGAGACACACGGCGGGUGCUAACGUCCGUCGUGAAGAGGGAAACAACCCAGACCGCCAGCUAAGGUCCCAAAGUCAUGGUUAAGUGGGAAACGAUGUGGGAAGGCCCAGACAGCCAGGAUGUUGGCUUAGAAGCAGCCAUCAUUUAAAGAAAGCGUAAUAGCUCACUGGUCGAGUCGGCCUGCGCGGAAGAUGUAACGGGGCUAAACCAUGCACCGAAGCUGCGGCAGCGACGCUUAUGCGUUGUUGGGUAGGGGAGCGUUCUGUAAGCCUGUGAAGGUGUGCUGUGAGGCAUGCUGGAGGUAUCAGAAGUGCGAAUGCUGACAUAAGUAACGAUAAAGCGGGUGAAAAGCCCGCUCGCCGGAAGACCAAGGGUUCCUGUCCAACGUUAAUCGGGGCAGGGUGAGUCGACCCCUAAGGCGAGGCCGAAAGGCGUAGUCGAUGGGAAACAGGUUAAUAUUCCUGUACUUGGUGUUACUGCGAAGGGGGGACGGAGAAGGCUAUGUUGGCCGGGCGACGGUUGUCCCGGUUUAAGCGUGUAGGCUGGUUUUCCAGGCAAAUCCGGAAAAUCAAGGCUGAGGCGUGAUGACGAGGCACUACGGUGCUGAAGCAACAAAUGCCCUGCUUCCAGGAAAAGCCUCUAAGCAUCAGGUAACAUCAAAUCGUACCCCAAACCGACACAGGUGGUCAGGUAGAGAAUACCAAGGCGCUUGAGAGAACUCGGGUGAAGGAACUAGGCAAAAUGGUGCCGUAACUUCGGGAGAAGGCACGCUGAUAUGUAGGUGAAGUCCCUCGCGGAUGGAGCUGAAAUCAGUCGAAGAUACCAGCUGGCUGCAACUGUUUAUUAAAAACACAGCACUGUGCAAACACGAAAGUGGACGUAUACGGUGUGACGCCUGCCCGGUGCCGGAAGGUUAAUUGAUGGGGUCAGCGCAAGCGAAGCUCUUGAUCGAAGCCCCGGUAAACGGCGGCCGUAACUAUAACGGUCCUAAGGUAGCGAAAUUCCUUGUCGGGUAAGUUCCGACCUGCACGAAUGGCGUAAUGAUGGCCAGGCUGUCUCCACCCGAGACUCAGUGAAAUUGAACUCGCUGUGAAGAUGCAGUGUACCCGCGGCAAGACGGAAAGACCCCGUGAACCUUUACUAUAGCUUGACACUGAACAUUGAGCCUUGAUGUGUAGGAUAGGUGGGAGGCUUAGAAGUGUGGACGCCAGUCUGCAUGGAGCCGACCUUGAAAUACCACCCUUUAAUGUUUGAUGUUCUAACGUUGACCCGUAAUCCGGGUUGCGGACAGUGUCUGGUGGGUAGUUUGACUGGGGCGGUCUCCUC
This 1356-nucleotide ribosomal RNA is filed under the name Escherichia coli. RNAcentral's name for it is "partial 23S ribosomal RNA". It matches the Rfam family "Bacterial large subunit ribosomal RNA", at positions 950 to 2289 of the family's 2925-position model. Lineage: Bacteria; Pseudomonadati; Pseudomonadota; Gammaproteobacteria; Enterobacterales; Enterobacteriaceae. The record is from RNAcentral.